AUUGAACGCUGGCGGCAGGCCUAACACAUGCAAGUCGAGCGGAUGAGGGGAGCUUGCUCCCUGAUUUAGCGGCGGACGGGUGAGUAAUGCCUAGGAAUCUGCCUGGUAGUGGGGGAUAACGUUCCGAAAGGAACGCUAAUACCGCAUACGUCCUACGGGAGAAAGCAGCGGACCUUCGGGCCUUGCGCUAUCAGAUGAGCCUAGGUCGGAUUAGCUAGUUGGUGAGGUAAUGGCUCACCAAGGCGACGAUCCGUAACUGGUCUGAGAGGAUGAUCAGUCACACUGGAACUGAGACACGGUCCAGACUCCUACGGGAGGCAGCAGUGGGGAAUAUUGGACAAUGGGCGAAAGCCUGAUCCAGCCAUGCCGCGUGUGUGAAGAAGGUCUUCGGAUUGUAAAGCACUUUAAGUUGGGAGGAAGGGCUGCUGGUUAAUACCCUGCAGUUUUGACGUUACCAACAGAAUAAGCACCGGCUAACUUCGUG
Molecule: ribosomal RNA, 484 nt
Filed under: uncultured bacterium
Lineage: Bacteria
Description: partial 16S ribosomal RNA
Rfam family: Bacterial small subunit ribosomal RNA
Source: RNAcentral